Molecule: ribosomal RNA, 406 nt
Filed under: uncultured bacterium
Lineage: Bacteria
Description: partial 16S ribosomal RNA
Rfam family: Bacterial small subunit ribosomal RNA
Source: RNAcentral
AUUGAACGCUGGCGGCAGGCCUAACACAUGCAAGUCGAACGAGUGGCGGACGGGUGAGUAAUGUCUGGGAAACUGCCUGAUGGAGGGGGAUAACUACUGGAAACGGUAGCUAAUACCGCAUACCAUCGGAUGUGCCCAGAUGGGAUUAGCUAGUAGGUGGGGUAAAGGAUCAACUAGGCGACGAUCCCUAGCUGGUCUGAGAGGAUGACCAGCAACAAUGGAACUGAGACACGGUACAGAAGCCGACGGGAGGAAGCAGUGGGGAAUAGUGCACAAGGGGAGAAAGCCUGAUGCAGACAUGACGCGUGUAUGAAGAAGGCCGUCGGGUUGGAAAGUACUUUCAGCGGGGAGGCGGGACCCGCAGAAGAAGCACCGGCUAACUCCGUGCCAGACGCCGCGGUAAUUC